Molecule: ribosomal RNA, 638 nt
Filed under: uncultured bacterium
Lineage: Bacteria
Description: bacterial SSU rRNA
Rfam family: Bacterial small subunit ribosomal RNA
Source: RNAcentral
GUUUGAUCCUGGCUCAGGAUGAACGCUAGCUACAGGCUUAACACAUGCAAGUCGAGGGGAAACGACAUCGAAAGCUUGCUUUUGAUGGGCGUCGACCGGCGCACGGGUGAGUAACGCGUAUCCAACCUGCCCAUCACUUGGGGAUAACCUUGCGAAAGUAAGACUAAUACCCAAUGAUAUCUCUAGAAGACAUCUGAAAGAGAUUAAAGAUUUAUCGGUGAUGGAUGGGGAUGCGUCUGAUUAGCUUGUUGGCGGGGUAACGGCCCACCAAGGCGACGAUCAGUAGGGGUUCUGAGAGGAAGGUCCCCCACAUUGGAACUGAGACACGGUCCAAACUCCUACGGGAGGCAGCAGUGAGGAAUAUUGGUCAAUGGACGAGAGUCUGAACCAGCCAAGUAGCGUGCAGGAUGACGGCCCUAUGGGUUGUAAACUGCUUUUAUAAGGGAAUAAAGUGAGCCUCGUGAGGCUUUUUGCAUGUACCUUAUGAAUAAGGACCGGCUAAUUCCGUGCCAGCAGCCGCGGUAAUACGGAAGGUCCGGGCGUUAUCCGGAUUUAUUGGGUUUAAAGGGAGCGUAGGCCGGAGAUUAAGCGUGUUGUGAAAUGUAGACGCUCAACGUCUGCACUGCAGCGCGAACUGG